GGAUGUGAGGGCGAUCUGGCUGCGACAUCUGUCACCCAAUUGAUCGCCAGGGUUGAUUCGGCUGAUCUGGCUGGCUAGGUGGGUAUCUCCUUCCUCCCUCACCGCUCCAUGUGCGUCCCUCCCAAAGCUGCAUGCUCAGUUGAAGAGGACCACCUUCCCCGAUAGAGGAGAGGACCGUUCUUCGGUCAAGGGUAUAGGAGUAGCUGCGCUCCCCUGCUAGAACCUCCAAACAAAAAAGUUGGAGAAUGUAGCCUAUUGGCUUUUAUAUUGCUAACAACUAAGUACAGAACUUAUUACAAAUUUUCUUUUUUAU
RNAcentral lists this small nuclear RNA (313 nucleotides) under Mustela putorius furo (domestic ferret). RNAcentral describes it as "7SK RNA (ENSMPUG00000022030.1)". It matches the Rfam family "7SK RNA". Rfam says of the family: 7SK was discovered as an abundant small nuclear RNA in the mid-70s but a possible function has only recently been suggested. Two independent studies have found that 7SK RNA binds the CDK9/cyclin T complex (known as elongation factor P-TEFb). Lineage: Eukaryota; Metazoa; Chordata; Mammalia; Carnivora; Mustelidae. The record is from RNAcentral.